RNAcentral lists this ribosomal RNA (440 nucleotides) under uncultured Anabaena sp. RNAcentral's name for it is "bacterial SSU rRNA". It matches the Rfam family "Bacterial small subunit ribosomal RNA", at positions 39 to 522 of the family's 1533-position model. Lineage: Bacteria; Bacillati; Cyanobacteriota; Cyanophyceae; Nostocales; Nostocaceae. The record is from RNAcentral.
GCGUGGGCUUUAACAUGCCAAGUUCGAACGGGACUCGAUUGAGUUCAGUGGCGGACGGGUGAGUAACGCGUGAGAAUUUGCCUAGAGGUUGGGGACAACCACUGGAAACGGUGGCUAAGACCCAAUGUGCCGCAACGUGAAAGAUUUAUCGCCUCUAGAUGAGCUCGCGUCUGAUUAGCUAGUUGGUGAGGUAAAAGCUCACCAAGGCGACGAUCAGUAGCUGGUCUGAGAGGAUGACCAGCCACACUGGGACUGAGACACGGCCCAGACUCCUACGGGAGGCAGCAGUGGGGAAUUUUCCGCAAUGGGCGAAAGCCUGACGGAGCAAGACCGCGUGAGGGAGGAAGGCUCUUGGGUGGAGAACCUCUUUUGAUAGGGAAGAAGUUCUGACGGUACCUAUCGAAUCAGCAUCGGCUAACUCCGUGCCAGCAGCCGCGGUA